Long non-coding RNA from Anguilla rostrata (American eel), 2860 nucleotides. RefSeq lists it as uncharacterized. The transcript is spliced from 4 exons. Lineage: Eukaryota; Metazoa; Chordata; Actinopteri; Anguilliformes; Anguillidae. The record is from RefSeq and is a predicted model, not a curated record.
AAGUAAUGGAAGGAGUUUCCACUUCCAUACUGGCCAUUAUGAUUCAGGACUUAACGAGACGUAUGGAAUGGCGAGGUCUGCUUUGUCGCCCACUUUUAUGUCACCAGAAGUACAUCUCGAACCUUGGACUUGAGAUCAAAGAAUCCACCAGCUGUGAUGUGUCCGAUACUGCCCUGGAGGACUACCCAUCUGAUGCAACUGGUAGAGUCAGAUCACAGAUGCUGCCUACCUGACCAGCAGAAUCUCUACUGAGAAAAAAGUGCCCUGUGGCAGGGACAGCUUCAUGAAUCCGCCUCUUGUAGACCUCUCGCCCCAGAGCCGAAGCCCUAGUCCAUGGCAGCGUCGGCCCAUUGCAGUUCACUUUCCCCAGGACAGAAGGAGACGAGGCGCAGGAGCUACACCCAGAUUUCCUGUGAUCUGCAGCACUAGUCCUAAGCUGAAGGACACUGUGAUCCAUAGUGGAGGGAUGAAUCUUACCGAAGGGGGCCAUCGUGGCGGCUCGGCGGAUGAACGCUAACGGAAUUCAUGCCAGGCUAUACUGGUGCCCUUUCCAUGCUGGCAGAGCAGAGACAGGGGACAGCAUUUCCAAUACCUCCCCAGGGAGUGGGCGUGGUCUUAUUACCAUGAAUAAUACCACCUCACAGACAGGAUGUAUGGUACUGUAAUCAGAAAUUGGAUGGCUGAGUCCAGUCAGGGACAUGGAGAGUGACUGGAGUGCGGGCUGCUCCAGGGACUGGCUGGGCCUGUGCUGCAGUCUCCAGUUUUAAGGCUAGCACUGAAGCUUUUGCUCAAGGAUUGUGCCAAUACUAAGUGAGAACUACGCUUAGUAAAGUUUUUUUUUUGCCCUCUUAUAGAAAACAGAGAUCUUUUAAAGUCCACAGGAUUACCCACAACGCUACACGUGCAGCUACAGAUUUAUUUAUUUAUUUAUUUAAUUGCAUUUUUAUUGUAUUGUUAUAUUGUGAAAUUGUUAGUUUUGUUCCAUCAUUUUAAUUGAUGCUACUGCUAUUUAGUGUAGGGUGUGGUGUCCCUGUUUUGUGGUUUGAAGUAUUUUAUUCUUGUGGUGUUGUAAAUGUGAUACAAACAUUAUAUUACAUUAUAUAAUAUUUAUAUUAAAACAUUGCAUUCUUUUACACUUUUGGUUUAAUAUAUCUUUGAAAGCAAAAAAAAAAAACCCAGACCAAGAGCUUGAUAUAAAUUCUCUGUUUAAUUAUAUUUAGCUAAAUAUUAUAAUUAAUUUCACAGACAAUGAAACUCGUUAGAUUUCAGUCUGUGUCCAGCCAGAACAAAGCACUUCAUGUGUAGAGACAAUGACCUGUGAAUAGCUCUGCAGUGUUUUUAUUGAAUUACUGCACCAUACAGUCCUUCCCCACCACCUCUUUCUGAAUGUCCUUUGGUUCUGACUCAUACAAAAUCUGCUGGCCAAGUUUAUUACAAUGGCAUUGUCAAAAUUUAUCAUUGCAGUAUCUCUAUUUACUUUCAGUUCAUAAAACCAUUUAAUAAAAUGCACAAUGAUUCAUGAAAGUGAGGUGAAUUGUUUCUGACGUAAAGGCAUCUUUAGGUUUUUCAUUUGCUUGCAAAGUUACUGCAUUUCACGUUUCUUCAGCUUGUGAACUUGCCAACAUCAGUGUUGUGCUUUUAUGCCAACAUCUGGCUUUUGUCUUUUAGGUGUAUGUACUGUAUAAAACUUUGUUGGCAAAAAUUCAUAAGUACUUCACAUUUUUCAACAAUCUAUGUUGCCUUAAUGUAUUGCAACAUGAUUUCCUAUGUGAAUUUAAACAAUUUGCUGAUCAGUUCAAUUCAAUUUUGAAUAAAUCUAAUUUAUAACAUAUCUUUUGAAGACGUUUAGCUAGGCAUUGUCUGACACUGAAGCUUGUGACACUGAAUUCCACACUGAAGCUUGUGUUCAAUUUAUACAGGUGAUUGUGUUUACAGCGACCUCUGCUGGCCAGUGUUAAAGCACGCUUGGAGAUGCCUAAUGAAAACACACAGAUGCUCUCCUAGCCACUAGAUCUGAAUCACAGUGCCCAAUUUUCGAGUAUUGGGGAUUAAGUUUUUUUUCUCUCUCUCUCUCUGCCAACAUCUGGCAUUGUUCUGUACCUCAUUACUUUGAAUAAAACAAUGAUUCAUACCAAUAAACAAGGCUUGUUACUGGUGGGGGUUUAAAGCACAGAUUAUUCGCUCUCCAUAAAUCAGUCCCUUCUAGGGCAUAUCUCUGACUAAUCCCUUUUGGGAGUAAAAGAUUUUAGCAAUAAAAAGUGCAACAGAUGCAACACAUAAUGGCCACUGCACAGAAUGAUACCAUUUUCGGUUAUCACAUAAUUUCAAGUCAGUAGGCCUGUAUUUCAGUCAAUACAACAUUUUUUUUGUGUCAUUUCAGAAUGAAUGGGAAGGCUGCGGUUAUUGGAGGCCGUUGUCAGUCAGAUGUUGUCCUGGUCCAAGUGGACCCAUUGACCUCUGCAUAUUUUUCACUCACUGAGGUCACUGACUUGGCCCUGGGGAAAUAUUUUCCUCUCAUUCUCCUCUCACACUGGGAAACAGAGUACCCAAGUACCCACCCCCCGCCCCCCACUUCUAGAACAAUCCGAGUCCCUCCCAGUCAAGCACCUCCUCCCCACACACAUAACAGACAUCACCCAUCCAAAUGACUGUGGAAUGACGCAUGCCCCAGACAAUAGGAGGAUAUUGAGGCAAACGUGUGUCUAAAUGGGAAAGCCCUUGAGCCUUGACAGGGGCCAACCUCAUAUUGUUGGCAGUGGAUCACAUUUGAUUGGCCUUUAUGAAAACAUCACACUUUCCUGUCUUAAAUCAUACGUUCAACAUGUUUGAUGGAUUUUACAUGCAUGUCGAGUUGCUUCAG